UGCGUAGGCGGUCGGCUAAGUCUGAUGUGAAAUCUCCGGGCUCAACCCGGAAACUGCAUCGGAUACUAGUUGGCUAGAGGAUUGGAGGGGGGGACUGGAAUUCUCGGUGUAGCAGUGAAAUGCGUAGAUAUCGAGAGGAACACCAGUGGCGAAGGCGAGUCCCUGGACAAUUCCUGACGCUGAGGCACGAAAGCUAGGGGAGCAAACA
This 208-nucleotide ribosomal RNA is filed under the name uncultured bacterium. Its description in RNAcentral is "partial 16S ribosomal RNA". It matches the Rfam family "Bacterial small subunit ribosomal RNA", at positions 568 to 774 of the family's 1533-position model. The record is from RNAcentral.